Long non-coding RNA from Magallana angulata, 2847 nucleotides. RefSeq lists it as uncharacterized. The record is from RefSeq and is a predicted model, not a curated record. The transcript has 17 exons. NCBI's taxonomy places the organism in Eukaryota, Metazoa, Mollusca, Bivalvia, Ostreida, Ostreidae.
AAUCGAUCGGAUCAUUUUUUUUUGUGCAGGAAAGGUAGGAAUCAAUUGUUCAUAAGUGACGAUUGAUCAAUUGAUCAAUAAUGAAGACUUUUCAUAAUCAUCAUACUUUUUUUCAUCAACAUUUGGAUUCAAUAAUUGUUUUUGUUGAAGAAGGAUUUUACCUGUACACAUAGAAGAGUAACAUCUUUCAACCUAUAUACAUUUUGUCUUUGAAAAUGUGGGUUGCAGUUUGCAGAAAACGAUUACACUAUAGCUACACUUAUUGGAUAUUUGUAAGGAAAGCUAACAGGACCUAAACAAAACAGAACAAAACAGUACAGUACCUUUUAGGGAACAUUCUCAAAUUCAGUAUUUGACAUCAUGCAUUAAUUACUGGAAAAGACAGGAAAACAACUAAACAAAGAAAUAAUCCAUAUAUUGAAGGAGCAUAAAUUAGUUUCCCUACCUAUCAAGUCAGAAACAUUCUGCGAUGCUACAAGAUCACGUUAUGAGGGCAAACAGCUAUAUUAUGGGUCAUCCUGUAGUUCUGUUGAUGGCAAGUCUAUUCCAAGUGCCUUUUCAAUGAAAACACAGGCACAGAUAUGCAUCGUACAACCUAUAUACCUUUUGUCUUCGAAAAUGUGAGUGGCAGUUUGUAGAAAACGAUUAGACUAUAGCUACACUCUUGGAUAUUUGUAAGGAAAGCUAAAAGGACCAAAAACAAGACAGGCUGAUGUUCACUUUUAUCAAACAACUUGAGAAUGCUAAAACAGCAUUACAACUUUGCAAAUACCUUUUAGGGAACAUUCUCAAAUUCAGUAUUUGACAUCAUGCAUUAAUUACUGGAAAAGACAGGAAAACAACUAAACAAAGAAAUAAUCCAUAUAUUGAAGGAGCAUAAAUUAGUUUCCCUACCUAUCAAGUCAGAAACAUUCUGCGAUGCUACAAGAUCACGUUAUGAGGGCAAACAGCUAUAUUAUGGGUCAUCCUGUAGUUCUGUUGAUGGCAAGUCUAUUCCAAGUGCCUUUUCAAUGAAAACACAGGCACAGAUAUGCAUCGUACAACCUAUAUACCUUUUGUCUUCGAAAAUGUGAGUGGCAGUUUGUAGAAAACGAUUAGACUAUAGCUACACUCUUGGAUAUUUGUAAGGAAAGCUAAAAGGACCAAAAACAAGACAGGCUGAUGUUCACUUUUAUCAAACAACUUGAGAAUGCUAAAACAGCAUUACAACUUUGCAAAUACCUUUUAGGGAACAUUCUCAAAUUCAGUAUUUGACAUCAUGCAUUAAUUACUGGAAAAGACAGGAAAACAACUAAACAAAGAAAUAAUCCAUAUAUUGAAGGAGCAUAAAUUAGUUUCCCUACCUAUCAAGUCAGAAACAUUCUGCGAUGCUACAAGAUCACGUUAUGAGGGCAAACAGCUAUAUUAUGGGUCAUCCUGUAGUUCUGUUGAUGGCAAGUCUAUUCCAAGUGCCUUUUCAAUGAAAACACAGGCACAGAUAUGCAUCGUACAACCUAUAUACCUUUUGUCUUCGAAAAUGUGAGUGGCAGUUUGUAGAAAACGAUUAGACUAUAGCUACACUCUUGGAUAUUUGUAAGGAAAGCUAAAAGGACCAAAAACAAGACAGGCUGAUGUUCACUUUUAUCAAACAACUUGAGAAUGCAAAACAGCAUUUCAACUUUGCACACAAUUUCUCUACCUAUCAAGUCAGAAACAUUCUGCGAUGCUACAAGAACACGUUAUGAGGGCAAACAGCUCUAUUAUUGGUCAUCCUGUAGUUCUGUUGAUGAUCCAAAAUCUGCAUCAGAGAGAGGAAAACAUGAACACUUCAUCUAAAUCUAUCAACUUGGACACACAGAAGGAGAGAAUAGAAAGAACUGUCAACCAGAAUGAAAUUGACUUAGCAUUGUAGACGUUGUUACGGUAAAAAGGCUCCAAAUGUCUUGAAUAUGGACAAUGGCGGACAAAUAAAAGUCAGGCGAUUCAUAAAAAGCACAUUCUUUUAACUAACAGUACCAAAAAAAUCCACAAAAGGAGACGAAAUCAAGAAACUACAUGAACAAUUUCUGUGAAUCAUGUCGUUUAACACGAUGGCUUAGUACAAAGUUCAGAAUUGUUCAUGAACAUGAAAUCCAAUGUAUCUAAAUGUAUUUAACUUUCCCUUUGGGAACUUAUCUCCAAUUUGUAAAAUUAAUCAGAUUUUUACUUCUCAAUGAUGCAUAUCCAUUAAUGAAACAUUGGUGUAACUGUUGAAUAAAAUAUUUUUUCUCACUUAUAUAUCAGACUUAAUUGAAUUGCAUUCUAAUUUUAUAUCUAACUAUACUAAUGUCAAACAGUACUUGUAUAUAUUUGAAUGCACAAAGUGAAUGUUAUCGUUGUAAGAAUAGAAUUAAAUAUUGCUACACUUUAUAAAGAUUCCUAGCACAUAAAGAAGUAACUCAGAUAAAGAACGUUUGCAAAGGGAUGUCAUUAUAACUAUGAAUAUAUACUAAUAUUCUGUUGAUCAACAUGAAAGGGAAGCAACUCCCCUUUAUAAUUGCAGUUGAAAAUGUCCCAGAAGAGUUAUCACUCGUUUCAUUGAUAUUGGGAUAUUGAUAUUGCUUUCCUCCAAAUUCAAACUUUAUCAUACAUGAUUUCCUUUUAUAUGUUUAAAUGUCGUAGCAGAUAUAUGUAAAUAUCUCGAAUAGCAUGUAAAGAAACUCAUCUUAAAUGAUAUGGAAAAAGCAACAUCAAAACAUGCUUUUUUGCUGCUAAAGCUUCUUGAAAAAUGUUAUUUGUAUAAACAGGAAACAAGAGUCGCUUUUUUUCCAGUCUGCUUGUUGAACGUGAGCCAAGGAAUAAAAAGAAAAAUACAUGUUACAUCCGAAA